GAAUCAGCCGGUACUCGCGAAUGCCUCUAGAUUUAAAGUUUGAUCAUGGCUCAGAACGAACGCUGUGCGGCGUGCUUAACACAUGCAAGUCGAGCGAGGCCUGGGGGGCAACUCCCAGAGUCGAGCGGCGGACGGGUGAGUAACACGUGGGUAACCUGCCCGGAAGUGGGGAAUACCACGGGGAAACUCGAGCUAAUACCGCAUGACAUCUCCGGGACGAAAGUCCUGGCGAUCAAAGCGGGGUCGCAAGAUCUCGCGCUACCGGAUGGGCCCGCGCCCGAUUAGCUAGUUGGUGAGGUAACGGCUCACCAAGGCUUCGAUCGGUAGCCGGCCUGAGAGGGCGAUCGGUCACACCGGGGAAACUUGAGACACGGUCCGGAUCCUCGGGAGGGGGGUGGG
This 399-nucleotide ribosomal RNA is filed under the name uncultured bacterium. Its description in RNAcentral is "bacterial SSU rRNA". It matches the Rfam family "Bacterial small subunit ribosomal RNA", at positions 1 to 358 of the family's 1533-position model. The record is from RNAcentral.